RNAcentral lists this ribosomal RNA (422 nucleotides) under uncultured bacterium. RNAcentral's name for it is "bacterial SSU rRNA". It matches the Rfam family "Bacterial small subunit ribosomal RNA", at positions 355 to 774 of the family's 1533-position model. The record is from RNAcentral.
UGAGGAAUAUUGGUCAAUGGAGGGAACUCUGAACCAGCCAUGCCGCGUGCAGGAAGACGGCCCUCUGGGUUGUAAACUGCUUUUAUUCGGGAAUAAACCUAUUUACGUGUAAAUAGCUGAAUGUACCGAAGGAAUAAGGAUCGGCUAACUCCGUGCCAGCAGCCGCGGUAAUACGGAGGAUCCAAGCGUUAUCCGGAUUUAUUGGGUUUAAAGGGAGCGUAGGUGGCCUUAUAAGUCAGGGGUGAAAGACGGUGGCUCAACCAUCGCAGUGCCCUUGAUACUGAUGAGCUUGAAUGGACUAGAGGUAGGCGGAAUGUGACAAGUAGCGGUGAAAUGCAUAGAUAUGUCACAGAACACCGAUUGCGAAGGCAGCUUACUAUGGUUUAAUUGACGCUGAGGCACGAAAGCGUGGGGAUCAAACA